ACUCCUACGGGAGGCAGCAGUGAGGAAUAUCGGUCAAUGGACGAGAGUCUGAACCAGCCAAGUCGCGUGAAGGAAGACGGCCCUACGGGUUGUAAACUUCUUUUGUAAGGGAAUAAAUAGUCUUACGCGCUAAGACGUUGCAGGUACCUUACGAAUAAGGAUCGGCUAACUCCGUGCCAGCAGCCGCGGUAAUACGGAGGAUCCGAGCGUUAUCCGGAUUUACUGGGUUUAAAGGGUGCGCAGGCGGCAUGUUAAGUCGGCGGUGAAAUUUUGCAGCUCAACUGUAAAAGAGCCUUCGAAACUGGCAAGCUUGAGUGUGGAUGAAGUAGGCGGAAUUUGUGGUGUAGCGGUGAAAUGCAUAGAUAUCACAAAGAACACCGAUUGCGCAGGCAGCUUACUAAACCAUAACUGACGCUCAUGCACGAAGGCGUGGGGAUCAAACAGGAUUAGAUACCCUGGUAGUC
RNAcentral lists this ribosomal RNA (464 nucleotides) under uncultured bacterium. RNAcentral's name for it is "bacterial SSU rRNA". It matches the Rfam family "Bacterial small subunit ribosomal RNA", at positions 335 to 795 of the family's 1533-position model. The record is from RNAcentral.